AGUUCCUCCACCUGCUGGCCCCUGGACACCUCUGUCACCAUGUGGUUCCUGGUUCUGUGCCUCGCCCUGUCCCUGGGGGGGACUGGUGCUGCGCCCCCGAUUCAGUCCCGGAUUGUGGGAGGCUGGGAGUGUGAGCAGCAUUCCCAGCCCUGGCAGGCGGCUCUAUACCAUUUCAGCACGUUCCAGUGUGGGGGCAUCCUGGUGCACCCCCAGUGGGUGCUCACAGCUGCUCAUUGCAUCAGCGACAAUUACCAGCUCUGGCUGGGUCGCCACAACUUGUUUGACGACGAAAACACAGCCCAGUUUGUUCAUGUCAGUGAGAGCUUCCCACACCCUGGCUUCAACAUGAGCCUCCUGGAGAACCACACCCGCCAAGCAGACGAGGACUACAGCCACGACCUCAUGCUGCUCCGCCUGACAGAGCCUGCUGAUACCACCACAGACGCUGUGAAGGUCGUGGAGUUGCCCACCCAGGAACCUGAAGUGGGGAGCACCUGUUUGGCUUCCGGCUGGGGCAGCAUCGAACCAGAGAAUUGUAUGUGGGGGCAGACUGUGUAGCCCAAGGCGGGGAUGGGGACUCCUGCGUCCAAGGGAGAAAGGGCCAGGGAAGCAGGUGAGGUCGGGCUGCAGCCCUUUUUCUCCCGGGUUCGUAGUCUCAUUUCCAGAUGAUCUCCAGUGUGUGGACCUCGAAAUCCUGCCUAAUGAUGAGUGCGAAAAAGCCCACAUCCAGAAGGUGACAGACUUCAUGCUGUGUGUCGGACACCUGGAAGGUGGCAAAGACACCUGUGUGGGUGAUUCAGGGGGCCCGCUGAUGUGUGAUGGUGUGCUCCAAGGUGUCACCUCAUGGGGCUACGUCCCUUGUGGCACCCCCAAUAAGCCUUCUGUCGCCGUCAGAGUGCUGUCUUAUGUGAAGUGGAUCGAGGACACCAUAGCGGAGAACUCCUGAACGCCCAGCCCUGUCCCCUACUCCCAGUAAAAUCAAAUAUGCAUCC
RNAcentral lists this small RNA (992 nucleotides) under Pan troglodytes (chimpanzee). RNAcentral describes it as "retained intron". The record is from RNAcentral. Lineage: Eukaryota; Metazoa; Chordata; Mammalia; Primates; Hominidae.